This 25-nucleotide ribosomal RNA is filed under the name Dianthus callizonus. RNAcentral's name for it is "partial 28S ribosomal RNA". The record is from RNAcentral. Lineage: Eukaryota; Viridiplantae; Streptophyta; Magnoliopsida; Caryophyllales; Caryophyllaceae.
CCUUUGCGACCCCAGGUCAGGNGGG